GUUUAGCUUCCCGGAGCCUUUACUUGACACUGAGCCCUCCUCCUCACUUGGCAACCGCCUGUAGUCGUCAUAGCAACAGAGAGGCGAGGAGAAGAAGACAGGGUAGGGCUUCUCUCUGGAGGACGCAGUGUGCAGAAAAACGACUCUCCCUGCGAUUCCAUCCGUCCACUCCCCUGUGGUUAGCAUUCAGUCUCGUGUUCACUGACUGAAGCAGCUGCUUGAGAUCUUUCCAGGUCCCGUGUCAUGAGGCUACAGUACCAGCUGGAAACAAUAUGUCUUUUCACUCACUUGCCAUAAUAUAAAAGACUUCCUAUUGUUCCAGCUACAUUGAACGUAAGGUAAUUAGUCAUAAUAAUUAGUAAUUAGUUAGUUUUUCUGCUUUCUCACUAAUGUAUUGAAAGCUGUUGCUUGCUGCUGCAGCAAGAGCCUAUGUUCAGAGCACGACUGUAUGCUGUUCAAGCAGCU
This is a long non-coding RNA of Betta splendens (Siamese fighting fish), 465 nucleotides long. RefSeq lists it as uncharacterized. The transcript is spliced from 4 exons. The record is from RefSeq and is a predicted model, not a curated record. Lineage: Eukaryota; Metazoa; Chordata; Actinopteri; Anabantiformes; Osphronemidae.